GCGUCUGCUUCAGCAAGGAGGGGUAUUUUCGUCUUUUCAUUAGGGACUUCUUUGUACCUGAACAUAUGCUUCAUCUUGACCGCAUAGACGACCAACGCCUGCUUCUUCGGCUGUUCUUCCCAACUUUUUGAAAAAAUUCGUCCGAACACAUUUCUGAGUGUAAUUUUCCAUUCAUAAGCUCAAACAUUGAUCACAAGUACAGCUAGCAGGUAGAUCACAAGAUUAUUUAUACGAGGAUUGGUAUUUGCUUCCUCAUGCCUCUGCUCAGUCUCAACUUUGAUUGUGGUUCUUUCUAUAGGUUUGGUACUUUGGUGGUUAGAUAGUGGAUGAUUCUGUAUUUUCCUUAUCUGUGCUCGCGUUAUUGUUCGUGCUUUUGUAUUUGUAUUCUUCUUUAAUUUUGCCCUAUAGGUGUUUGACAAAAUUCCUAUUUCUCCUUUGGCCUGUAGAUGCUUUUGUUGAGUUCUUAAAUUAGAUGAAAGAUUCAACAAGGGAGAGUAGAGUAAUUACGGGCAAAGAAAAUAACAACACAGCACCAUAUCAGCUGAUCUUAGAGAAAAGAAUGAGAAAG
This 568-nucleotide long non-coding RNA is filed under the name Capsicum annuum. Its description in RNAcentral is "long non-coding RNA (CANN_LNC006947)". Lineage: Eukaryota; Viridiplantae; Streptophyta; Magnoliopsida; Solanales; Solanaceae. The record is from RNAcentral.